GCCUGGGUGGCUCAGUCAGUUAAGCGCCAGACUUAGGCUCAGGUCAUGAUCUCACAGUUCGUGGGUUCGAGCCCCGCAUCGGGCU
This 85-nucleotide transfer RNA is filed under the name Felis catus (domestic cat). It matches the Rfam family "tRNA". From Rfam's summary of the family: Transfer RNA (tRNA) molecules are approximately 80 nucleotides in length. Their secondary structure includes four short double-helical elements and three loops (D, anti-codon, and T loops). Lineage: Eukaryota; Metazoa; Chordata; Mammalia; Carnivora; Felidae. The record is from Rfam by way of RNAcentral. RNAcentral also lists the same sequence under 2 other names.